UUUCGGGAUUACGGUUAGCCAUGAUGAAAACAAGGCAUCUGCAACUCCAAGGGCUCUUACUAUGGAGAAACGAUGGUCAUCUACACCUGUAGCGUCUGAGCCAGCAUUGAAGGGCAUGAGGAGGUCAGCUUCAGCACCCUACAAGCUUGCGAGGAUUACCGAAUUUUUGACCCUGCAAAAGGAGUUGGGGAUAAAAAUUUUGGUCUACAGCUCCACCAGCAUUGUCCACUUCUGUCUUAGACCAAGCCACUACAUCUCAGUGGUCUCUUAAAAGGCAUGGACCAAGAUUCUUCCACACUAGGUCCAAAACACAUCAUCAUUAUUUUGGACUUUUAAAAAGAUCAUUCAAUUUAUCAGAUGACGGAAAGAAGAAAGAAGAAAACAUGCUUUUGCUGGUAAAAUACCACAAAUUAGUGUUGAGACGUGCCAAUUCCAAGAAUGUUAUUCUCUAGUUGCAACAGACUGUUAAAAUAG
This is a non-coding RNA of Pogona vitticeps (central bearded dragon), 474 nucleotides long. The record is from RefSeq and is a predicted model, not a curated record. Lineage: Eukaryota; Metazoa; Chordata; Lepidosauria; Squamata; Agamidae.